Molecule: long non-coding RNA, 3077 nt
Filed under: Marmota monax (woodchuck)
Lineage: Eukaryota; Metazoa; Chordata; Mammalia; Rodentia; Sciuridae
Source: RNAcentral
CAGAAUCAAGGUGUGGGGAGGGGCAUUUGCUGUUAUUGUUUCUACCCUAGGUGUUGAUUGCUUCUUAUUGUCUCUUUUUCAGACCCUCAGUUCCAUCUUUAAGGUUGAGACGGUGAAAGAGCAAGGUGCAGAAGCAAUCAAACAGGUGAUGUAUCCAAAUGAAUUGGUAUCCUGGAUGAAAAUGUGUUCUGUGAAACCAAUCUGAAUGCAGAAAGAGCCAACAUUUUCUGAUGUCUCUUUCCUGUCCAAAUGAAGAAGUAAUCCUAUGAGGCAAAAGUGCUAAAUUCUUUCCAGAGUGCCAUGAGCAAGCUCCUCUUUUCGCUGUCUUGCUCUCACAGAGCUGACCAUCUCUUCUUUCCCCCUUUCCACAACUGGUGUCUACGUCUGACUCCAAUUCCUCAAGACCUUAUGCCUAGAAGACUGUGUGAUGCUUCUGAUAGGUGUCCUGCUCUCAUUUCUUCCCCUCUACAUAUGUGAUGCUCACCAGCUGAGUCCUCUUCAAGUUCUGCCUAUCUUAUAGGAAACCAGAGCAUACUGGUUGACACAUAGACUCUAGAACCGGUCUGCCAGUUUUCAUCUUCAGUGAAUAAAAAUAAAGGUUAUAAUGGGAACCUGCAUUCAAAUGUUCCAUAACUACUUCUUCCUUCCUUCCUGCCUACCUCCCUCCCUCCUUCCCCUCCUUCUUUCCUUACUUCUUGAUGUUUGGAAUUCCUAAUCCUCCAGGAUUCUACAAACAUUGACAAAAGGCUUCCUGAUUUCUUCCUUCUGUGUGCUUAUCACCCAAUCUGCUUAUUGGGUCACCUUACAUGCCUUGAUUUUCAUUGCCCAUUACAAUUUCAUGUCCAAGUCUUUUCUAAUUCAAACCCAAGAAGCUGUUUUUGUGGUAUUUCAUGAACUUCAUUUCAGGUAUGUGUACUGAUUAUCAAAAUAAAAGUAAAAGUAGCACACUCUGUCAGGCAUUAUGCCUACUGCUUCCUAUCCAGCAUUUCAUUGCACUCUCACUGAAAUGAACUCAAGACCAGUUAGUGAAUCUUGUGAUUGGGGUUACUCUGUCAUAGAGGAACCCUUUUUUCUUGGCCUCCAGUGUCCCUUAGUGUGAGGUAGGGCUGACACAAGUGCAUCUUUACCUUAAUCAAUAAUCAAAGAAACCAAUAUUCCUUUUCUUUUUCAACAUCCACACAGGGCUGUGAUUUUAGGUAUACUGUCCUGUGUUUGAGGACCUAGUUGGUCCAAAUUGACUUUUUUCCUAUGUAUUCCUAUGCAAUAACUGAGAUACCUCAGACAUCAACUUGGGGACAUUUUUGAAGACCUCUGACUUCUUUAGCUCUCCUCUAUGAGUAGUGCCUCUUGCCAGGGUGGGUCUGUGUCUGGCUGACCUUAAUGGCUUCUCUGGGAAGCAUUGGAAAUAAUUGUGUCUGCAAUGACCCUCCGCUUUGCAGAAGGUGCACGGGAUGGCUUCCUGUUCUCUGGGGUCCUCUCAGUCUCUCUGAUCUGCAGAUUCUAUGGAUCAUCUUACACUUUCCCUUACCCCUUCCAAUUAAUCAGAGUCGGCAUGAGUAUUGGAUGUCGGCAUUCUGUACUACCUGUACUGAAGGUGAUGGCUUAUGAUCUGCACUAAAACCAGGUUGUUGUUUAGAAGCAAUACAUUUGCCAUACACUAACAGAUAACAGUUAUAAAGGGGAAGGCCUCUGUGGAGUUCACACAAAUGUGAGCACAGGGCUGGCUCGAGAACAUUUCAGGUGACUUGAUGGUUUUGUUCCUAUACAGGGGGUGGAAGAGGUGUUUCAUUAGCACUGAUGCCACCAAGGGAGCAAUGCCUCAGCGCACCAAGGUGAAGCUGAUGCCCUCGGCUUCCAUUUAGGAAAAGGCCCCCUUGUACCUGAUUUUUUAAUCUGGUCUAUUAAGAGAAGAAUGGGGAAUGUUCAGCUGGAAAUAGACUUCUCCAUGCAGUGUGCAUCCACCAAUAGGCAAACACAUUAGUGACAUAACAUAUUCCACCAGCCCUAGUUGGGACUUGUCAUUUUUGUAUAAAAUGGACUGACACAUCAGUUUAAGUUCUUCUAAAAAUCAUUGCCAUUGAAUGGGAGGAUUCUAGGAGCUGAAGCAUGCUUGACUUUUGGUAGGGACCUAAAUGUAUAAUAUGAGCAGAUGCAUUUGUUUUCAUGAUGGUCAUAAGAAAGUCACUACAGUUUGAGGGCUUGGACCUCACUUUUGACAAGUAUGAUUUGGUUUGGAAGAGUCAUGUAGCCUCCCUUGAAACCUUUUGGUUUUGGCAACAGAAGAACUUUGGGUGACGUGGUGCUAACCUUUUUUGCUCCUUAAUCUUGUGGUAACUCUCUUUGGGCAUCAGCUUACCUGGUAGCAAGUACUCCCAGACCAGGAUAAUCACACAUCUCCCAGGAAGUAGAAGAUAUUCAAUAUCCACUUGCCAUGCUGCAUAAGAGCAGUGCCUCUUGGGACCUUGUCCAGUAAUUGGGGGACAACUUGGAGCUCCAGUAAUGGGGGGAGGGAAUUGAGCGCCUCCACAAGUAUUGUUUCCAUGUGUCUCUUCCCAGCCACCCUCCAAAUCUCCUUGUAUUGGUGAGACCAGUUCCCCCACUCAAGAGAGGAAGGACAUUGCCCAGGUAAGGGCCAUUGAGAUGCAAAUGACUCUUGAGUAUUUUCAAAACAUUUACUACAGUAAAAACUGCAUGGAAUCUGACCUCUAUGUCAAUGUCAAUUGCCUUAGGUUAGCUCCCUUUUCUAAUAUCCCUGGAAGUUUUCAACUUCAUUGAGCAAAGGUUAAAACUCUAAAGCAAAAUGUGUAUAUUGAAACAUUCACCCCAAGGGCUAGAGUGGGAAGGAAAUGGGAGUGGACAUUCCUUCCACUUCCAAUGGAGACAGGGUAAAAGGCAGAAUGGUUCACCAUGGGAGUUAGGAUAAGCAUGCAGAGGGGAAGAGCAAAAGGUAUCUCCUGAAAGAUAAUCAGGAGUGAGGAUUUGGACUGCCGCUGUGGCAUCAGGUUAGAUUAGAGGUGCUGUGCAGCCAGCAGUGCAGGUUGCAAGGGAACAGAGGCCUGUGCCUUGGUGCUGCUUCC